AAAUUAUAUAUAUAUAUAUAUAAAUAUAUAUAUAUAUAUAUAUAUAUAUAUAAUUUCAUAUAUAUUUCAUAUAUAUAUUAUCAUAUAAAGAACUGAGAACUGGGUAUUAUUAUCUGUAAUUGUAUAAUUUGUAAAUAUAAAUAUUGCUGUAUAUUGUAAAUAUUUCUCUAUACUGUAGUUAUGUUAAGCCUUUUUCUAAUACAUAAUAUUAGAUUACAGUUUUUCUCAAUUGCUAAAACACUAAACCCUAUUGUCUGAACCAAAUGCUCAGUUGCCUGAACCCACUGAUUGAAUCAAUCACUCUUUUGGCAAAACCAUAAGCACUUUUCACCUGUUUAGACACAACUUGCCAACACAUUUUCAUUGUGAUGCACCCGUGCUGCAUAAUGGUGAGCACAGGUGACAAAAGUCAAACACAAUUAAAGCACAGAUGAGACCACUUGAACACAACAACUCAAAAUUGAUCACACUUGUGGCUAAUGAUGUGAAGGAACAUAUACAGUAAGCCAGUUCAGAGAGCACUGGUUUGUGAGGCCCUACAAUGGAUAGAAAUCUGAGAGGAAGAGUUCGUGUGAGAGGAGGUCGAGGGGGUCGAGGUGGUCAGCAAAGACAAAGAACAGUAAUAUCUGAUGAAAUCAGAGCUACUGUGAUUGACCAUGUUCUUGUCCAUGGUAUGAGCAUGAGGGAGGCUGGACAAAGGGUACAACCAAACAUCAGUAGAUUCACUGUGUCCACCAUAAUCUGAAGAUUUAGAGAAGAGAACAGGUAAUUACCUUUUUUUGACAUUAUAGUAUAGUAUGUAAAUGUUGACAGCAAUUACUCUAUGACAUACUAUAUACUGUACCACAGUAUACUGUAAGUAAAUAUAUGUUUCAGUACAUCACUAUACCAAUAUACUGUAGUAUUGUAAUGGAGGAUUGGUCUAACUGUUUGUAGGCCUAGUAUUCCAUGUAUAUUUUUUGUAACUCCAUGUUCCCUUUUUGUAGAAUUGAAAGACUGCCACAUGGGGGUGGGAGGACAGGUAUGUUCUCCCGACAUCAAGAGACCCUAAUUGUUGAUAUGGUCCGUGAGAACAUUGCCAUUAAACUGAGUGAAAUUCAGCAGAAGAUCAUUGAGGACCAUGUAAAUUUUGAGGGUAUCAACAGUGUCAGCCUCUCUACUGCUGAUCGUGUCCUCAAGCGCAACAGACUGCGCAUGAAACAGCUAUACAGAGUGCCCUUUGAUCGCAACUCAGACAGAGUCAAAGAGCAAAGAUUCCAGUAUGUACAGAGGGUUUUUCAACUGGAUGCAAUGGAAAGACCCCAUGAAUACAUCUACAUGGAUGAAGCUGGGUUUAAUCUCACCAAAAGGAGAAGGAGAGGCCGUAAUGUGAUUGGCCAUCGGGCCAUUGUUGGUGUUCCUGGGCAGCGUGGUGGCAAUGUCACAUUAUGUGCUGCCAUCAGCAAUCAUGGGGUUGUCCACCAUCAUGCCAACCUGGGACCCUACAACACUCACCAGCUCCUCAUUUUCCUCAAUCACAUACGAGAUGCUCUGUAA
Molecule: long non-coding RNA, 1536 nt
Organism: Cyprinus carpio carpio
Lineage: Eukaryota; Metazoa; Chordata; Actinopteri; Cypriniformes; Cyprinidae
Source: Ensembl